This 165-nucleotide small nuclear RNA is filed under the name Cervus hanglu yarkandensis (Yarkand deer). RNAcentral's name for it is "U2 spliceosomal RNA (ENSCHYG00000025641.1)". It matches the Rfam family "U2 spliceosomal RNA". From Rfam's summary of the family: U2 is a small nuclear RNA (snRNA) component of the spliceosome (involved in pre-mRNA splicing). Complementary binding between U2 snRNA (in an area lying towards the 5' end but 3' to hairpin I) and the branchpoint sequence (BPS) of the intron results the bulging out of an unpaired adenosine, on the BPS, which initiates a nucleophilic attack at the intronic 5' splice site, thus starting the first of two transesterification reactions that mediate splicing. The record is from Rfam by way of RNAcentral. Lineage: Eukaryota; Metazoa; Chordata; Mammalia; Artiodactyla; Cervidae.
AUCUCUGUUCUCGGCCUUUUGGCUAAGACCAAGUGUAGUAUCUGUUCUUAUCAGUUUACUCUUUUAGCAGUUUUCAAAUAUACUAUAUAGUAUUAUUGGACUUCCCUGGUGGUUCAAUGGUAAAGAAUCCUCCUUCCAAUAAAGGAGGUGCAGAUUCAAUCCCUU